This is a non-coding RNA of Salmo salar (Atlantic salmon), 54 nucleotides long. The record is from Rfam. Lineage: Eukaryota; Metazoa; Chordata; Actinopteri; Salmoniformes; Salmonidae.
UGCAUUCACUGCUAUAAGUCGCUCUGGAUAAGAGCAUCUGCUAAAUGACUAAAA